Molecule: ribosomal RNA, 460 nt
Filed under: uncultured bacterium
Lineage: Bacteria
Description: partial 16S ribosomal RNA
Rfam family: Bacterial small subunit ribosomal RNA
Source: RNAcentral
CCUACGGGAGGCAGCAGUGAGGAAUAUUGGUCAAUGGCCGGAAGGCUGAACCAGCCAUGCCGCGUGAAGGUCAGUGCCCUAUGGGCGUUAAACUUCUUUUGUGCGGGAGCAAUAAUGGUCACGUGUGGCCAGACGAGAGUACCGUACGAAUAAGCAUCGGCUAACUCCGUGCCAGCAGCCGCGGUAAUACGGGGGAUGCAAGCGUUUUCCGGAUUUAUUGGGGUUAAAGGGUGCGUAGGCUGUGAGGUAAGUCAGCGGUGAAAUGCCCCCGCUCAACGGGGUGAAGUGCCAUUGCUACUGCCUUGCUGGAAUGCGGAUGCCGUGGGAGGAAUGUGUGGUGUAGCGGUGAAAUGCAUAGAUAUCACACAGAACACCGAUUGCGAAGGCAUCUCACGAAUCCGCGAUUGACGCUGAUGCACGAAAGCGUGGGUAUCAAACAGGAUUAGAUACCCGAGUAGUC